RNAcentral lists this unclassified non-coding RNA (386 nucleotides) under Hevea brasiliensis (rubber tree). Lineage: Eukaryota; Viridiplantae; Streptophyta; Magnoliopsida; Malpighiales; Euphorbiaceae. The record is from RNAcentral.
AGAAAAGAAAGAGUCUAAUACUACAGCCAAAAGCAAUGGAAUAAAAGCUGGAUUGCUGAGCAACAAUCCCUCACUACAGAUCAGUCCAGUAAAGCUAGAUAGAACCAAUUACCUUGCUUGGUCAAGGUCAUGCCCAUUGUUCAUCGAAGCUUGAUGUGUGCAGAGUUAUAUUACAAGAAAUAAGUAAAAACCAGCAGCUACCGACCGUAGCUUAAAAGAACAGCCAUUAAGUUAUACAACUGCCAUUAUUUAUAGGUUUUUUGGACAUUUGUACCUGUUUCGCCUAUAUAUAAUGGCAUUUUAAAAUUGUAGGCUGUAACAGCCGUUAUGACCGUUAAGUAAUGGUAACGGCUGUUAUUAACAUGGGCAGAUAAGGGAAGUUUUUU